CCUUAGCUGUCUGUGCAGCAAAACUUUGGGAACUCCUCUGAUACUUGUCAGAAAAAAAGCAGGUCAUAUACCAGAAGAACUACUGCUGCUCUCAGCAGAAGGAAACAACAUGGACUGAAGCCACUUCCUGCUCCUGACUAACUGUAUGGACAUGGGCAAGCUGUGUGAUCUCUGUGAACCUCCUAGUCUUCAUUUCUAAAAUGGGUGAGGAUAACGACACCAAAAUGAUAGGAUUACGUUGAGAAUUACAAACAAUAAUAUAUAUUUUGUUAGCUGAUAGUGAC
This 284-nucleotide long non-coding RNA is filed under the name Callithrix jacchus (white-tufted-ear marmoset). Its description in RNAcentral is "lncRNA (ENSCJAG00000082148.1)". Lineage: Eukaryota; Metazoa; Chordata; Mammalia; Primates; Cebidae. The record is from RNAcentral.